UACGUAGGUGGCAAGCGUUGUCCGGAAUUAUUGGGCGUAAAGCGCGCGCAGGCGGUCCUUUAAGUCUGAUGUGAAAGCCCACGGCUCAACCGUGGAGGGUCAUUGGAAACUGGGGGACUUGAGUACAGAAGAGGAAAGCGGAAUUCCACGUGUAGCGGUGAAAUGCGUAGAGAUGUGGAGGAACACCAGUGGCGAAGGCGGCUUUCUGGUCUGUAACUGACGCUGAGGCGCGAAAGCUAGGGGAGCGAACGGG
This 253-nucleotide ribosomal RNA is filed under the name uncultured bacterium. RNAcentral describes it as "partial 16S ribosomal RNA". It matches the Rfam family "Bacterial small subunit ribosomal RNA", at positions 524 to 776 of the family's 1533-position model. The record is from RNAcentral.